UACCCCCUGAAGUGUGCGCCAGUUAUCCGUUUUUACCCACAUUUUACCAAAUGGAAUCCGCGUCAGGAGUUGGCUGCCACGCCCCCGCGCAAGCGAUAGGGGACGGCAAAAAUCUGUUGCAGGGUACCAGCCUGCUGAACAUAGCGGGUGAAAAAAUGGAUGCAGCGGCACUUCGGGCUAUCC
This 183-nucleotide non-coding RNA is filed under the name Clostridiales bacterium. RNAcentral describes it as "6S RNA". It matches the Rfam family "6S / SsrS RNA". Rfam says of the family: E. coli 6S RNA was the first non coding RNA to be sequenced, but its function was unknown until recently. It consists of 184 nucleotides that fold into an extended hairpin structure with a large single-stranded internal bulge. The 6S RNA specifically associates with RNA polymerase holoenzyme containing the sigma70 specificity factor. Lineage: Bacteria; Bacillati; Bacillota; Clostridia; Eubacteriales. The record is from RNAcentral.